GAUGAACGCUGGCGGCGUGCCUAAUAAAUGCAAGUCGAGCGAACAGACGAGGAGCUUGCUCCUCUGACGUUAGCGGCGGACGAGUGAGUAACACGUGGAUAACCUACCUAUAAGACUGGGAUAACUUCGGGAAACCGGAGCUAAUACCGGAUAAUAUAUUGAACCGCAUGGUUCAAUAGUGAAAGACGGUUUUGCUGUCACUUAUAGAUGGAUCCGCGCCGCAUUAGCUAGUUGGUAAGGUAACGGCUUACCAAGGCAACGAUGCGUAGCCGACCUGAGAGGGUGAUCGGCCACACUGGAACUGAGACACGGUCCAGACUCCUACGGGAGGCAGCAGUAGGGAAUCUUCCGCAAUGGGCGAAAGCCUGACGGAGCAACGCCGCGUGAGUGAUGAAGGUCUUCGGAUCGUAAAACUCUGUUAUUAGGGAAGAACAAAUGUGUAAGUAACUAUGCACGUCUUGACGGUACCUAAUCAGAAAGCCACGGCUAACUACGUG
Molecule: ribosomal RNA, 497 nt
Filed under: uncultured bacterium
Lineage: Bacteria
Description: partial 16S ribosomal RNA
Rfam family: Bacterial small subunit ribosomal RNA
Source: RNAcentral